CUUUCAUUUAGAGCUCAAAAGAGCCAAUUUUGAGGAAUAUUGUUUACAUAAGUGACAUGAAGCGGUUUGGUAUGAACUUUUCGUGCCAAAUUGUUAUUAUGA
This 102-nucleotide small RNA is filed under the name Arabidopsis thaliana (thale cress). RNAcentral describes it as "ATSL195190". Lineage: Eukaryota; Viridiplantae; Streptophyta; Magnoliopsida; Brassicales; Brassicaceae. The record is from RNAcentral.